AAUAAUGACCAUACCACCCUGAAUGUGUUGAUCUCGUCUGAUCUCAGAAGCUAAGCAAGGUCGGACCUGGUUAAUAUGUGGUUGGGAGACACAGAAUUAUAUUCAAAAAUCAAUUCCAUUAGUU
Molecule: ribosomal RNA, 124 nt
Filed under: Meriones unguiculatus (Mongolian gerbil)
Lineage: Eukaryota; Metazoa; Chordata; Mammalia; Rodentia; Muridae
Source: RNAcentral